This 454-nucleotide ribosomal RNA is filed under the name uncultured organism. RNAcentral's name for it is "partial 16S ribosomal RNA". It matches the Rfam family "Bacterial small subunit ribosomal RNA", at positions 330 to 800 of the family's 1533-position model. The record is from RNAcentral.
CGUACACUCCUGCGGGAGGCAGCAGUGGGGAAUAUUGGACAAUGGGCGCAAGCCUGAUCCAGCCAUGCCGCGUGAGUGAUGAAGGCCCUAGGGUUGUAAAGCUCUUUCACCGGUGAAGAUAAUAACGGUAACCGGAGAAGAAGCCCCGGCUAACUUCGUGCCAGCAGCCGCGGUAAUACGAAGGGGGCUAGCGUUGUUCGGAUUUACUGGGCGUAAAGCGCACGUAGGCGGACUAUUAAGUCAGGGGUGAAAUCCCGGGGCUCAACCCCGGAACUGCCUUUGAUACUGGUAGUCUUGAGUUCGAGAGAGGUGAGUGGAAUUCCGAGUGUAGAGGUGAAAUUCGUAGAUAUUCGGAGGAACACCAGUGGCGAAGGCGGCUCACUGGCUCGAUACUGACGCUGAGGUGCGAAAGCGUGGGGAGCAAACAGGAUUAGAAACCCCGGUAGUCCCAUGA